Long non-coding RNA from Acanthopagrus latus (yellowfin seabream), 449 nucleotides. RefSeq lists it as uncharacterized. The transcript is spliced from 2 exons. Lineage: Eukaryota; Metazoa; Chordata; Actinopteri; Spariformes; Sparidae. The record is from RefSeq and is a predicted model, not a curated record.
AGCGGGCGCACAUCCGGGACGCGUUUUCAAAAUAAAGCUCCGGGGAGAACAACGGCGUUUUGACGGUGACACAAAGAGACAAUGAAAGGCGUGUGGCAUAUUUCAGGAGGAUGAUGCGGUAAAUAAAAUGUGAAAUGUGCCACUUCCUGUCUGGCUGUUGUUUAUCCGUGUGUGACUUGACGGGCUCGGUCACAAGGGGCGGCUCAUGGGCGAGUCCAUUUAACAAAAAAGGGAGAAAAAAAGUGGGAGCAGGGAGGAGGGAGUGCGAUGUGGCAGAGUGAUGCUGUGGGGCCAUCUAGUGACGGACACAGGUACUACAGGUUCAGGUGGGUGAGGAAAAAAGCACCUUAUGCAGAAGAAAGAAGUAACCAUACAAUAUAUUAAAUAAUCUUUACUGCUUGGCUCUCAUAACUGAAUACAUUUAAUAAAGAAACUCUCCUCAAAGGAAA